GAGCGGCAGCACGGGUACUUGUACCUGGUGGCGAGCGGCGGACGGGUGAGUAAUGCCUAGGAAUCUGCCUAGUAGUGGGGGAUAACGUCCGGAAACGGGCGCUAAUACCGCAUACGUCCUACGGGAGAAAGUGGGGGAUCUUCGGACCUCACGCUAUUAGAUGAGCCUAGGUCGGAUUAGCUAGUUGGUGAGGUAAUGGCUCACCAAGGCGACGAUCCGUAACUGGUCUGAGAGGAUGAUCAGUCACACUGGAACUGAGACACGGUCCAGACUCCUACGGGAGGCAGCAGUGGGGAAUAUUGGACAAUGGGCGAAAGCCUGAUCCAGCCAUGCCGCGUGUGUGAAGAAGGUCUUCGGAUUGUAAAGCACUUUAAGUUGGGAGGAAGGGCAGUUACCUAAUACGUGAUUGUUUUGACGUUACCGACAGAAUAAGCACCGGCUAACUCUGUG
Molecule: ribosomal RNA, 450 nt
Filed under: uncultured bacterium
Lineage: Bacteria
Description: bacterial SSU rRNA
Rfam family: Bacterial small subunit ribosomal RNA
Source: RNAcentral